Molecule: ribosomal RNA, 630 nt
Filed under: Triticum aestivum (bread wheat)
Lineage: Eukaryota; Viridiplantae; Streptophyta; Magnoliopsida; Poales; Poaceae
Description: partial small subunit ribosomal RNA
Source: RNAcentral
AUGGCGGCGCAAGAGCAGGAGCAGCAGGCCAAGACGAGCACCACCAGCUCGCUGCCGUCCAGCAGCGACCGCUCCUCCAGCUCCGGCCCCAACAACCUCAAGAAAGGAGGCGCGGAGAGCGACGAGGAGAUACGGCGGGUGCCGGAGAUGGGCGGCGGGUCGGCGUCGUCGGGCGCGGGGGACGGCAAGCAGCUGCAGCUGGCGGCGGCCGGGGGUGGGCAGGCCCCGGCGGGGAAGAAGCGCGGGCGCGCCGCCGGGGACAAGGAGCAGAACCGGCUGAAGCGGCUGCUGCGGAACCGCGUGUCGGCGCAGCAGGCCCGCGAGCGGAAGAAGGCCUACAUGACGGAGCUGGAGGUGAAGGCCAAGGACCUCGAGCUCCGCAAUGCCGAGCUGGAGCAGAAGGUCUCCACCCUCCAGAACGAGAACAACACGCUCCGCCAGGUACCAUACCUUAGCCUAGAUCCUCCCAGCAGAAUUGUCUUUCUUGUCACUGGCCAUGGCGAUACUGAAUCUUGCAUGCGCGUGUGUGUGCAGAUACUGAAGAACACGACGGCGCACGCCGGGAAGAAGCCGAGCGGCGGCAAGGGGGGAGACGGCGGCAAGAAGCACCACCACUUCGGCAAGGGCUAG